Non-coding RNA from Chryseobacterium sp., 94 nucleotides. The record is from Rfam. Lineage: Bacteria; Pseudomonadati; Bacteroidota; Flavobacteriia; Flavobacteriales; Weeksellaceae.
CCCUAGCCCUGAGUGAAGCGGCAUCCUUUUUUGUUGCGGCCGGAGCGAAGCGGAGGCCGUAAUAAAAAAGAUAUAGCGGAAAGCAGGAAACAGC